AGCUGAUGCAGCGACGCCGCGUGAGGGAUGACGGCCUUCGGGUUGUAAACCUCUUUCAGUAGGGAAGAAGCGCAAGUGACGGUACCUGCAGAAGAAGCGCCGGCUAACUACGUGCCAGCAGCCGCGGUAAUACGUAGGGCGCAAGCGUUGUCCGGAAUUAUUGGGCGUAAAGAGCUCGUAGGCGGUUUGUCGCGUCCGCUGUGAAAGCCCGGGGCUCAACCCCGGGUCGGCAGUGGGUACGGGCAGACUAGAGUGCAGUAGGGGAGACUGGAAUUCCUGGUGUAGCGGUGAAAUGCGCAGAUAUCAGGAGGAACACCGAUGGCGAAGGCAGGUCUCUGGGCUGUUACUGACGCUGAGGAGCGAAAGCAUGGGGAGCGAACAGGAUUAGAUACCCUGGUAGUCCAUGCCGUAAACGUUGGGCACUAGGUGUGGGGGACAUUCCACGUCCUCCGCGCCGUAGCUAACGCAUUAAGUGCCCCGCCUGGGGAGUACGGCCGCAAGGCUAAAACUCAAAG
This 515-nucleotide ribosomal RNA is filed under the name Kocuria sp. MN04-06. RNAcentral describes it as "bacterial SSU rRNA". It matches the Rfam family "Bacterial small subunit ribosomal RNA", at positions 381 to 906 of the family's 1533-position model. Lineage: Bacteria; Bacillati; Actinomycetota; Actinomycetes; Micrococcales; Micrococcaceae. The record is from RNAcentral.